UCCAAACAAUCAUACUAACCUUUCUCUGUAAAAAGAUAAUUCAUCAUCUGACACUAUGACCCACACUAAACCGUGUGGUCACCACCACCACUACCAACAGAUGAACGUCCAAGUGUCCAUCUUUCUCUGCUUUUUAGGAACCGGAAGGCGUAGGCUGCCUUUCUUUCUCUCUGUCCAACCAAAAGAAAACCAUCCACUGCCUUGUACUAUUAUUGGCUACAUUAUUUCUUUACUUUCUUUUUCACUUUAUUAAGGGUCAGAACAAACGAAUUAACGGAACAUAAUUAAGGAGACAUGAAUAUAUUAUAAUAAGAAAGUUGGGAACUUACAAGAAGUCCGAAGUCUCGCAUCCAAUCGGUUUGGUGAGAAAAGCUGAAGAAAGAUAACACGUCCCAACAACGAAGCUUCCUGGAAAUUUCUCAUGGUUAGUUUUUCACCAUUUUUUUUUUUCCGGAAAAUCCUUCUCCUUUAACUUUGGUAAUACAUGGACGUUUAUCCUUCAGCUUUUCCUCGUAAACAAGUGGGAACGGAUCCGCUCAUGGAAUCAAGAGAUCUAGGCCGCAUAAAUUUAAUCCAAUGAUUUCCAUUAAUUCAUUGUUCUGAUCCUUCACACAUAACCAACGGCCAUGAUUUAUCUUGCACACCAAUCAGAGGGCCCGAUCUCUUGAUUUCUUGCAUGGAGAUUUCCUUGGUGCUUCUUUCAAAGAGACUUACAUUGCACCGAAACUUUAGAGUAGUAUGGCUCAAAUUUAUCCCCACUUCACAUUGUAUUUUAACUUUGUGACGUGAUAGCACGUAAUAAAUUAAUUACACCACUGUUUUGACGUUCCCGUUUCAAAUAAAGAAAGAGUGAGCAAGUAUUUCAAAUUGUUUAACCAUUUCUUAUCUAUAGCUUCUCUUCUAUCAUUUUAACUAUUAAAUUUUUAUUUAAAAAUAGAAAUAUCAAACUAUAAACCAUCCUAAAUAUUUUAUUCUUCAGGUAAACGAUCAUAUUAACUUUUCUUUGUCAAAAAAAAUAAAAAAAAAAUAAAAAAUCACAAUCUAACACUAUGACCCACACUAAACCGUGUUGUGGCCAACACCCCUACUGCCACUGGAAGCACUCGGGCUGUCUUUCUCUGUUUUUUUUCAGAAACGAGAAAGGCUUAGACUGCCUUUCAUUUUCUCUUUUGCUGAUGGGAACCAAAAGAAAAGCAUCCAGUGCCUUGUAUUAUGUAGGUUGAUUGUCUGCUAUUUCAUUUCUAUACAUUUAUCAUGUCUUAUGAUGUGUGGUUAUGUUUAAAUCACGUUAAUAAUUUAUAUUAAUUUUUUAUAAAAAUAAUAAACAAAAAAUAAUAAGAAUAUAAAAUAUUGACGUGACUUAAUCGUGAUCACACAAACAGGAAGACAUACGAAAAGUAUGAAAAUGGAAGGACAACAAUCCAACUCCUUGUAAUAUUGGCUGCUUGCUGCCUUUUAACAUAGUCAUCACGUGGCAUUCACAUUGAGCUAUUAAAACAGCCAAUCAAAUUUUUUUUUUUUUGACAAACAAUAUUAUUUAUUUUAAGAAUUGAGAAAAAUAGACUAAACCUCAUAAUAGGUUAGCAAUAAUAUGGUUCAAAAUUCAUUUUUUGCAAGAAUAGAACAUAACCUCACAAUUACAAGUAAAGAGGAAUAUCACUAAACUAUAAUAUUAAGUGGCAACAACCAAUCAAUUGGCUUGAGUAAAAAUAAAGGGCCCAACCCGAAUGAGCCAGACCCACAAAAUCCAAUAGUAAGUCAUCUCUAAUGGAGAAGGCUAAAUGUUUAAAAGAAAAAAAAAGACAUGACAUGAUUUGCCAAAAACUCAUAUCUAACCGAUGGCCAGACUAUAAUUUUAUAGAGCUCAUCAAGCUAUAAUUUGGCCAAGGGGCAUCAUGCUAGUCAAAUAUAGCCCCUCCUCUUAGUUUAAUUAGAUUUGAAGACAUCUAACAGUAGUUUAACUAAAUUAACCAAUAAAUUUAAACUUAAAACUAAUAAAUUAUUGUGGAACUAUUAUUUAGUUGAAGAUAGUAUAUGAAUAUGACAUGAUAUUAUUUAUUUAAAAAUAACUUUUUGCAUGCUAUAAUUCUGGACGGAAUUAUGUUUAAUCUUUUCGAUUAGAAAUAACGACCAUUGGCCAAAACGAUCAAACAAAGAUCGAUUAACUGUUGGUUAGUAUGACCAAAACCUGAAAUUGAAAUUAACCGAACCGAAAGUUUUCUCAUACCCAUGUAUGGUUACAUCAAACCUCAGCUUUAAUUCUUCACCUUUUUACAUUGGUAACAAACGAAUUAACGGUACAUAUCAAAGAGACAUGAAUAUAUAUAUAUAUAUAUAUAUAUACUCUGAUAAGAAUGCUGGGAACUUACAGAGAAAGAAGGCAUGCAUUCAAUUGCUUUGGUGAGAAAAGGUAAAGAAACAUAACACGUCCCAAGGAAGCUUCCUGAUAAUUUCUCAUAGUUACUAUUCCACCUUUUACUUCUACUUAGGUAAACAGUCAUAUACUAACUAACUUGACGAAACAAUUCACCAUCUGCCACUAUCAGUCUACCACCAACACUAAACCGUGUGGUCCCCACCACCACUACCAGUAGAAGUAGUACUCGGCUGUCCAUCUCUUUCCCAUUUGUUUCCUUUCCUCCUCUCUCAAUUUCCUCUCUUGCUACAACUUUUCUGCGAGAAUUUUCGAACCCCUCUUCCGGUAACUGAAUGAGAUUCAACGGCUUAAACUGAGUUAUCAGGGACUUAAGAUGAAAUCAAAUUAUCAGGGGCUUAAACUGAGUUAUCAGGGACUACAUCAUAACAAUAAUAAGGAAAUACAAUGGAGGGGUUUAGUAGAGAGCAGUAAACAUCAAUUUAGAUCUUUGAGGACUAGAGGCAAUGUAGGCCAACAAUGUCUUAUGACAACUGUUGAAUUGAAUAUAGAAAGUCAGAAGUGACAAAAUAUUUCCUCAUGUCGUUAUUAGCUAUGAAUCAGAUAUGACCAAUUGAAGAAAGAAAAUAAAGUCGAUGAACGAUUAAGCGAAACUUUGUCUUAGAGACCAAUGAAAUGCGACCUAGAAGCUUUAUCACACAAAAGUUCUUUGAAGACCUCUUCUUUUGCUUACCUGCUUACUUCUGCUGUAGAUCUUGAGGACUAGAGCCAUGUUGACCAGCCUCUUGUGAUAAAUGUUGAAUAGAAUCUAGAGUUAAAAGUGACAAAAUUUUUUUUUCAUAUUGCUACCAACUAUAGGUCAGAUAUGACUGGUUGAAGAAAGAAGAUAAAAUAGAUGAACGAUUAGGUGAAACUUUACCUUAGAAACCAAUCAAAUGCCACUGAGAAGUUUUAUUACACAAAAGUUCUUUGAAGACCUCUUGCUUAUGCUUCCAUGCUUACUUUUGUUGUAGGUCUUGAGGAGUAGGAGCAAUGUUGAUCAACCUCUUGCGACAAUUGUCGAUAAUUGUUGAAUUGAAUCUAGAAAGUUAAAAGUGACAAAUUAUAUUCAGUCUGAAAUAUUGUAGAGGACCCUCCUCCCAACCCUCACCCAACUGAAUGUAGCCAUCAAAUUUGAGUUAUUCCAACUAUUGCUCUUGCUUGCAAAGAAUGAAGUUAAUUCGUCUGCAACUGCAUCAUGCACGGUGUUAUCUUCAGCCGUCCACUCUUUUUAAAACUACUAAGGUUUGGCUUUAGUUAGAGGUCAUCAACAUCAAGAUGGGCGACCGAGAAAUGUCAAAAACUCUGGACACGUGUAAGGCUCCUUUACCAACACCUAAUGCAUUGCAUGUCAAUAUACAUGAUUUGGAUCGAUCUCAAUGGUUAAUUAUUCUUUUUUAUUGCAUUGUUAAUCAACUUUGUUAAAAUAAUGACACAAUUCAGCUUCU
Pyrus x bretschneideri (Chinese white pear) is the source of this 3861-nucleotide long non-coding RNA. RefSeq lists it as uncharacterized. The transcript is spliced from 2 exons. The record is from RefSeq and is a predicted model, not a curated record. NCBI's taxonomy places the organism in Eukaryota, Viridiplantae, Streptophyta, Magnoliopsida, Rosales, Rosaceae.